GUCAGGAUGGCCGAGCGGUCUAAGGCGCCAGACUCAAGGUUCAGACCUUCCCCCUGAAGUAAGGAGGAUUCUGGUCUCCGAAUGGAGGCGUGGGUUCGAAUCCCACUUCUGACA
Molecule: transfer RNA, 114 nt
Filed under: Ameiurus melas (black bullhead)
Lineage: Eukaryota; Metazoa; Chordata; Actinopteri; Siluriformes; Ictaluridae
Rfam family: tRNA
About the family: Transfer RNA (tRNA) molecules are approximately 80 nucleotides in length. Their secondary structure includes four short double-helical elements and three loops (D, anti-codon, and T loops).
Source: Rfam by way of RNAcentral